This 919-nucleotide long non-coding RNA is filed under the name Mus musculus (house mouse). Its description in RNAcentral is "long non-coding RNA chr10:128087299-128088218". Lineage: Eukaryota; Metazoa; Chordata; Mammalia; Rodentia; Muridae. The record is from RNAcentral.
AUUUUUUUAAGUAAUUCUAAGGUACUGGGGCUGAAGAGAUGGCUCAGUAGUUAAAAGUACUUUCUGUAGGCAGGUGGUGGUAGCCCAGAGGAAGCAGAGGCCGGCAGAUCUCCAAGUGUGAGGUCAGAGUGGUCUAGGACCAAUUCCAAGAUAACCAGUGCUACAUAGAGAAACCCUGUCUUUUUUUUUUUAAAGAUUUAUUUUAUUAUUAUAUCUAAGUACACUGUAGCUGUCUUCAGACACACCAGAAGAGGGCAUCAGGUCUUAUUAAGGAUGGUUGUGAGCCACCAUGUGGUUGCUGGGAUUUGAACUCAUGACCUUUGGAAGAGCAGUCAGUGCUCUUACCCUCUGAGCCAUCUCUCCAGCCCCCGAAACCCUGUCUUAAAGAAAGAAAAAGAAAAAGAAAAAAAGCCAUACUUUUUGGGAUUGUAUUCCCAGUUGGAGAGGAUCAGUCCGACUCCUCGGGUACAUUCUGCAGGCUCAGUCGUGCAUAUGAUACACAAUGAAAAUAUUGUUGUAUGGUUUUUGACAUUAGAUCUACUUGUGUAGCUUCAGCUGGCCUGGUACUCACUUUCUGUUCAGCUCUGUUUGGCAGCUCAUAGCAGUCCUCCUGCCUCAGUGUCCUAAGAGUUGGGAUUAUAGACAGGAGCUGCUACAUCUAGCUUUCAUUGUUAUCUUGAUUGUGUGCUGUGUAUUCCGAGGCACAUAAUAAGCAAGCAACAAGCAACACAUAAGCAAGAUAAUGAUGAUAACAGACCUUACCAUGCACCCUCGUGGUCAUAUUUACUUAGUAUUGCAGUGCAGGAACAUCUUUUAAGAGCACAACAUAAAUAAAAGUUGGUACCAUCACAAUAAAGUGUUGGCAUAGUAUGCAGACCCAGAUAAAGGGAGUCCAUAGCUUAAUCCAGUCCCAGAGAUG